CACUUGCUCGCGUGAGGGAUUAUAGUGGAGCUCUUUUUCUUUUUCAAUUGCCUCGGGUUUAAACCCGAGGCAAUUGAAAAAGAAAAAAAGCGGGAACGGAAAGCCCGACCCGUA
This 114-nucleotide small RNA is filed under the name Flavobacterium sp. 1. RNAcentral's name for it is "Flavo-1 RNA". It matches the Rfam family "Flavo-1 RNA". The record is from RNAcentral. Lineage: Bacteria; Pseudomonadati; Bacteroidota; Flavobacteriia; Flavobacteriales; Flavobacteriaceae.